GAGGGUCGCUCUGACCCGGCCCAAUGACACAAACCGAAGGCUAUGACUCCGUCGUGAGACGGGGCAAGAGCCGGUUCCCCUAUGGGGAACCUUCCCGCUUUAGCGGGAAGAGGAGGUCAGGUUACCCCCGUUA
RNAcentral lists this small RNA (133 nucleotides) under Archaeoglobus profundus DSM 5631. RNAcentral's name for it is "HgcC family RNA". It matches the Rfam family "HgcC family RNA". Rfam says of the family: The HgcC ncRNA gene was identified computationally in AT-rich hyperthermophiles. The genes were named hgcA through hgcG ("high GC"). HgcC is of unknown function. The record is from Rfam by way of RNAcentral. Lineage: Archaea; Methanobacteriati; Methanobacteriota; Archaeoglobi; Archaeoglobales; Archaeoglobaceae.